AACUUGUCUUGUAUGUAAUCACAAUUAUUUCUGUUUUUGUUUGUGUUUGUUAUGUCUUAGAUUUUUUAUCUAGAGUCUUGGAAGUUAGUCACAAGUGUUGUACAUGUACACUUUUUGUUUAUCCUUGGCUCUUGUUUUGUGUACCAAAGACUACGGUGUUGAUCCUGGAGAAGACGCAACACCAAAGAUGUCAGAGCUCAUGUAUUGUAGAGUCCAAACUGUUGGCGAUUCUUCCUUCUCUUGUCAUGCGAGGGUUAGUAACCCUCAAGUACAACGUCGGUUUUAAAAGAUGUUGAGGUAAUAUGGCAUUGUUUCUCUACUUUUCGUGUUUGUAUCUUCGAGAAAGAUUAAGAUUCAAAAAUCGUUUUUUUUUUUGUGAAAUAGGUAUGUGGCAUUCUAAAUGGAUGAAUUUAGAAAAUAUGUAAAGUAAAUUGCGAGAAG
RNAcentral lists this long non-coding RNA (441 nucleotides) under Brassica rapa (field mustard). Its description in RNAcentral is "long non-coding RNA (BRAP_LNC002055)". The record is from RNAcentral. Lineage: Eukaryota; Viridiplantae; Streptophyta; Magnoliopsida; Brassicales; Brassicaceae.